Molecule: transfer RNA, 63 nt
Filed under: Erotylidae sp. BMNH 1274780
Lineage: Eukaryota; Metazoa; Arthropoda; Insecta; Coleoptera; Erotylidae
Description: tRNA-Cys
Source: RNAcentral
GGUUUAAUAUUCAAAAUAUGAUUUUAAAUUGCAAAUUUAAAGUUGAGGGUUCCUCUUAAACCU